Molecule: microRNA, 22 nt
Filed under: Strongyloides ratti
Lineage: Eukaryota; Metazoa; Nematoda; Chromadorea; Rhabditida; Strongyloididae
Description: str-miR-5359-5p
Source: miRBase by way of RNAcentral
UCUGGGAUUGUUUAUCUUGGUA